GUCGAACCAAUAGGCCGAGGACUAUUAUUUUGAUAGGUAACCUCUUCAAACCGACCAUGUGUAGCAGCACAUCCAUUGCAUUCUGCUAGCUGCAAAUUCUGAGCAACUGGAUUUUUAGAUAGGAAAUUCAUGAACGAACCGACAGAGGAAUUGUUGGACGAACAGUUGUGACAGAAGCUAGAAUUUGCAAAGCGAGGGGUUUCUACGAUUCCUGGCCCUGGCUUCCAAUCGGGUUCUAAUUUGG
Molecule: unclassified non-coding RNA, 244 nt
Filed under: Hevea brasiliensis (rubber tree)
Lineage: Eukaryota; Viridiplantae; Streptophyta; Magnoliopsida; Malpighiales; Euphorbiaceae
Source: RNAcentral